This 48-nucleotide ribosomal RNA is filed under the name Hoodia ruschii. Its description in RNAcentral is "partial 5.8S ribosomal RNA". The record is from RNAcentral. Lineage: Eukaryota; Viridiplantae; Streptophyta; Magnoliopsida; Gentianales; Apocynaceae.
ACGACUUCGACAACGGAUAUCUAGGCUCUCGCAUCGAUGAAGAACGCA